UAGACAUUCCAUUACCGAGAAUUGCCUUUUCCAUUGAGAAACAUUUGGUUAGUUGAUGAUUACAAAACGUUUACUUAUAAUUAGUUGGCAUACGAAGAAGGUUCAAGCGUUUGAUCUAGAUGAAAAAUAUUCUUCCAUCUUGAUCUCAAAUGAAUAGCUUGAUAGGUUUGGAAGUUUAAGGUUCCUAAAGCUAUCUAAUGGAACCUUUGUUGGAGAUUUCUCAGAUUGUCUUCCAAAGAUAAGAUGGAUCACUUGGCAUCCUCCUCCUCAAAAUUUUUGCAGCUGUCGCUACGCGUUCAACAGAUAUAGUUGUUCUUGAAUUUUCUGACAAUCACUUUAUAGAUGAUUCGGAGAUGUGGAGCUUAAUCAAGAACACCGUCUGUAGGUGGCAACCAGAUUAAAGGUUCAAGCUCUCGAAAAGUGUUUCGGCAUUUCCAGAACUCCAGACUUCUCUAAGCGCUCGAUGUUAGAGAGGUUGACUC
Rhodamnia argentea is the source of this 482-nucleotide long non-coding RNA. RefSeq lists it as uncharacterized. NCBI's taxonomy places the organism in Eukaryota, Viridiplantae, Streptophyta, Magnoliopsida, Myrtales, Myrtaceae. The transcript has 2 exons. The record is from RefSeq and is a predicted model, not a curated record.